GACGAACGCUGGCGGCGUGCUUAACACAUGCAAGUCGAACGGAAAGGCCCUGCUUUUGUGGGGUGCUCGAGUGGCGAACGGGUGAGUAACACGUGAGUAACCUGUCCUUGACUUUGGGAUAACUUCAGGAAACUGGGGCUAAUACCGGAUAGGAGCUCCUGCUGCAUGGUGGGGGUUGGAAAGUUUCGGCGGUUGGGGAUGGACUCGCGGCUUAUCAGCUUGUUGGUGGGGUAGUGGCUUACCAAGGCUUUGACGGGUAGCCGGCCUGAGAGGGUGACCGGCCACAUUGGGACUGAGAUACGGCCCAGACUCCUACGGGAGGCAGCAGUGGGGAAUAUUGCACAAUGGGCGGAAGCCUGAUGCAGAAACGCCGCGUGCGGGAUGACGGCCUUCGGGUUGUAAACCGCUUUCGCCUGUGACGAAGCGUGAGUGACGGUAAUGGGUAAAGAAGCACCGGCUAACUACGUG
This 468-nucleotide ribosomal RNA is filed under the name uncultured bacterium. Its description in RNAcentral is "partial 16S ribosomal RNA". It matches the Rfam family "Bacterial small subunit ribosomal RNA", at positions 28 to 507 of the family's 1533-position model. The record is from RNAcentral.